Non-coding RNA from Nicotiana tabacum (common tobacco), 618 nucleotides. Lineage: Eukaryota; Viridiplantae; Streptophyta; Magnoliopsida; Solanales; Solanaceae. The record is from RefSeq and is a predicted model, not a curated record.
CUCCCAUUGCUUUUUGGUGUGGAACUGCAGGCUCUUUUAAAUUUACUCCGUUCUUUAUUUUUUUAUUGUGUUGGUUCCUACUCUUCAAUUUUUUGGUUUGGUUGAUUUGAACGGCUUCAUUUCCCUCUCUAGUGCCAUUUGAUUUGAAACAUAUUAUUCUGAUGUGAUUUUUGCAUCAAUGAAGUUUAUCGAGGCAAUCUGCUCCGUUGGAGAGCGUGAUUAGAGAUAGUUUAUUAGCCAAGCAACCUGAAGCUUAUGAUUGGUUUUGGUCUGAGCAAAUUCCAGCAGUGGUUACCACCUUUGUGAAUUAUUUUGAGAAGGAUCAGCGAUUUGCUGCUGCUACUACAGUGACCAGAAAGCAAAAAUCUUUGUCCCCUGGAAAUGCAGGUGCUGUAUCACUCCUUAUGCUUGCACUCAGUUGCAUUGCAGCGGUUAUGAAACUUGGUGCUGCAAAACUGUCGUGUACACAAUUUUCGUCUGUUAUUCCAGACACACUUGGAAGAUUGAUGAACAUGCUUGUCGAAUUUAUUCCUCUCCGACAGGCUUAUCAUUCCGUGAAGCCUAUUGGUCUGCGUAGAGAAUUUCUUGUCCAUUUUGGUCCCAGAGCUGCAGCAUGUA